GGUUAGCACAUUCUUUUAGAAAAUGAAGCAGAUGCUUUUUGGUGCUUUCAACGAGCUAUGCGGAAAUUGAGAGAGAAUUUCAGGUCUGAUGCGAACUCUAUGGGAGUGCAAACUCAGUUGCGUGCCCUUUCAGGAAUUGUUAGAGUUAUUGAUCCAAAGCUUCAUCAACACCUUGGUUGGAAAAUCAUGGAUUGGACCCAAAUGCUGAAAUUGUUCCCAAGGGACCAAUAACUGGGAAAAUCGAUCCACGGGCAAUGCAUGGAACUCCUUAGCAUUGUCUCCAAAAAGUGAUGGUGGCAGUGGUACUCGACCAUCAACUGCAGCUAGCGAUAGAGGGCAUGAACCUGUUCCAAGUUCAUGGGGUUCAAAUUCUAGGCCAUCAUCAGCCUCUAGAGCAUUGUCAUCAAACCAAUCAGCAUUGACAUCAUUACGUCCUCACAAUGCAGAAAC
Impatiens glandulifera is the source of this 450-nucleotide long non-coding RNA. RefSeq lists it as uncharacterized. The transcript is spliced from 4 exons. The record is from RefSeq and is a predicted model, not a curated record. NCBI's taxonomy places the organism in Eukaryota, Viridiplantae, Streptophyta, Magnoliopsida, Ericales, Balsaminaceae.